RNAcentral lists this unclassified non-coding RNA (1962 nucleotides) under Leishmania donovani. Its description in RNAcentral is "gene:LdHU3.11.1120(CDS-product:60S_ribosomal_prot ein_L24_putative)". Lineage: Eukaryota; Euglenozoa; Kinetoplastea; Trypanosomatida; Trypanosomatidae. The record is from RNAcentral.
CACCGCUACAGUUGGCUACGCCCACGAUUGCAUCUAGACGACUUGAGCGCCGCGGCCGUCCCUGCCCCCCUCUCCCCACACCUCAUCCCGCGCUAGUGUCCUUCGCGCAGCAUGAGGAUUGAGCAGUGCUCCUUCUGCAGUGCCCCGAUCUACCCGGGGCACGGGCAGGUGUUCGUGCGCAACGACUGCAAGGUCUUUCGCUUCUGCUCUAGCAAGUGCCGCAAGAACUUCGGCAUGAAACGCAACCCGAUGAAGCUGAAGUGGACGAAGACGUUCCGCAAGGCAAACGGCAAGGAGCUGGCGGUGGAUAGCACCAUGGACUUUGAGCAGCGCCGCAACAUUCCUGUCAAGUACAACCGCGAACUGCUGGGCGACACGCUGAAGGUGAUGAAGCGCGUCGAGAAGAUCAAGCAGCGGCGUCAGGAGGACUUGUGGGCGAGGCGCAUGGAGAAGGCCCGCCUUCAAGAGAAGCAAGAAGCUGCCUCGGCGCUUAAGCACAACAUCGACUGGAUCGAGGACGUUGAGAUCAAGCACAAGGCGCGUGACGACCUGGUGGCCAUCCAGCAGGAGCGCGAGGACAAGAAGGCGAAGCGCCGAGAGGCUAACAAGAAGCGUCACCAGAAGCAGCGCCUGGCCGAGAAGGCUACGGGCACGUCCGCCUUCCGUUCUGCCAAGAAGAAGUAGGCCCCCCUCUCCCCCCGCUCACUCAGUCACUCCCUCGCUGACUCCUAUUCGCCUGCAAGAAGAAGCGAAAAAGCAAACAACAAGCAAGAAAAAAAAACGAAAAGUGAUGAUAAUAAGCAGGUGCGAUGUGAAGGACAUACACAGGGGGGGGGGAAGGCGUCUUCUCUCUGUGGUUCUCUCAGUAAAUCGACCUGUCUGUCUCCGUGUCCUUGCCGUCUGCUUGUGCCUCUUCUCUCCCCGUAUUCGUGUCUGCGUGCGUUUCUGUCUUCCUUUAACUUGCGCCGCUCACAUACACCCGAGCGCGCUAGCGCCUAGGUGGGGGAGGCGAGUAGGGGCGCGCGGGCAGAGACGUGCUCCCUCUGACGCGUCUUCUCCCCCUCUCCCCCAUCCUGUUUCUCUUUCUCUGGUGUGUGGGAGGGGGGAGGAAGAGGGGUGCCGCCUGCCGUCGUUGUGGUCGGCGUGCUUUUGCAUGGUUUGGCCCGCAUUUAAAAUGCUCUUCGCUCCUAACUUGGAUUCCCCCCUUUGCGCGCUCGUCCUGUGAGGUGCCCCUCCGUUGGCCGGCAUGUCGGUUUCUGCGCGUGUUCGAUGUUUGUGUGCGUGUUCCGUGUUGUCGAUGUUGUCAGGGAGGGGCGGGUGUCAAGCGUGUGCGCGUCAUGGCCUCCCCACCUCCUCUUCAUUCUUCUUGAUUCCCCUUUUGAUCCGAGUAAACCGUUAAGCACAGGCCCUCCUCGAUCAGCACACUAACGAACAGAAAACAACACAAGGCUUGCGGAGCAACGGCGGCAUGCACACACCGACGUACACAGAGACGACAUCCGUGGCUUGGGCGCAUGCGAUGAUGGAAGGAGAGACAGUGGCGAUACGGAAUGCGCGCCUGUGUGCAGGUGUGCGCCGCGACGUUGCCCUCCUGACCCUCUCGCUCGGCCCCUUUGCCCGUGUCCAUCUGUGUCUUCUCACCGCAGUCGUAAUCGUCAGUUGACGCUUAUCAUCUAGACGGAAACAGCGCGAGUCGUCUUCCGUGGCGGCUCCCCUGCGCCCUCUCCAUGUCAACCCCCCCCCUCCCAGCCCUCGUCACUGCACUCCGCUUCUCCUCUCGCUGUACUACGUGCCUGUGCCCCUGCUUGGGUGUGCGCUUCUCUCCUUCGUCGCGGUCACCCGGGUAUCAUCGCCGGGUCCCACCACGUUGCCAUUCUCUGCCGCGGCGACCCGACCUCCUUUCCUUGGCGCCCCUGUUCUCUGUGCCUGUCUGUCUCUCUGACGGGAGUGGGCCGCGCACAG